GACGUAGGGCGCGAGCGUUGUCCGGAUUUAUUGGGCGUAAAGAGCUCGUAGGCGGCUUGUCGCGUCGACUGUGAAAACCCGCGGCUCAACCGCGGGCCUGCAGCCGAUACGGGCAGGCUAGAAUUCGGUAGGGGAGACUGGAAUUCCUGGUGUAGCGGUGAAAUGCGCAGAUAUCAGGAGGAACACCGGUGGCGAAGGCGACUACCUGGCCUGUUCUUGACGCUGAGGCGCGAAAGCUAGGGGAGCAAACGGG
This 253-nucleotide ribosomal RNA is filed under the name uncultured bacterium. Its description in RNAcentral is "partial 16S ribosomal RNA". It matches the Rfam family "Bacterial small subunit ribosomal RNA", at positions 524 to 776 of the family's 1533-position model. The record is from RNAcentral.